RNAcentral lists this ribosomal RNA (253 nucleotides) under uncultured bacterium. RNAcentral's name for it is "partial 16S ribosomal RNA". It matches the Rfam family "Bacterial small subunit ribosomal RNA", at positions 524 to 776 of the family's 1533-position model. The record is from RNAcentral.
UACAGGGGGUGCAAGCGUUGCUCGGAAUUACUGGGCGUAAAGCGUGCGCAGGCGGUCCAGCAAGUCGGGGGUGAAAACCCGGGGCUCAACCCCGGAAUUGCCUUCGAAACUGCUGGACUUGAAUACGAGAGAGGGUCGCGGAAUUCUUGGUGUAGAGGUGAAAUUCGUAGAUAUCAGGAAGAACACCAGUGGCGAAAGCGGCGACCUGGCUCGAUAUUGACGCUCAUGCACGAAAGCGUGGGGAGCAAACAGG